Molecule: unclassified non-coding RNA, 402 nt
Filed under: soil metagenome
Description: partial contains 5.8S ribosomal RNA, internal transcribed spacer 2, and large subunit ribosomal RNA
Rfam family: 5.8S ribosomal RNA (bases 1-121)
Source: RNAcentral
GAUGAAGAACGCAGCGAAAUGCGAUAAGUAAUGUGAAUUGCAGAAUUCAGUGAAUCAUCGAAUCUUUGUACGCACCUUGCACCCUUUGGCUAUUCCGAAGGGUAUGCCUGUUUGAGUAUCAUGAACACCUCAACUCUCAUGGUUUGCCAUGAUGAGCUUGGACUUUGGGGGUCUUGCUGGCCUGUGGUCAGCUCCUCUCAAAUGGAUUAGCUUGCCAGUGUUUGGUGGCAUCACAGGUGUGAUAACUAUCUACGCUUGUGGUUUUCCACCAGGUAACCUUCAGCAAUGGGGGUUCGCUGGGGCUCAUAAAUGUCUCUCCUCAGUGAGGACAGCUCUUUGAACGUUUGAUCUCAAAUCAGGUAGGACUACCCGCUGAACUUAAGCAUAUCAAUAAGCGGAGGA